UUUUAUCACAGAACUUUUAAUUUAUUCUCAUCAAAAGCACUCUAUUCAACUUAAUUAGGCAUUUUUUUCAAUCAUAUAUCACUGUUAGGUACACACAUGAAAAGAAAACAUAAAUGGGCCAGUUCCAGUGGCUUAGUGGUGAAGUUUGGUGCUCUCCGCUUUGGUGGCCCAGGUUCAGUUCCCAGGCAUGGACCUACACCAUUCAUCUGUCAGUGGCCAUGCUGUAGCAGCGGCUCAUGUACAAAAAGGGGAAGAUUGGCAGUAGAUAUUUGCUCGGGGCAAAUCUUCCUCAGCAAAGAAAGAAAGAAAGAAAGAAAACAUAAGCAAAACUAAUUGCUUAAGUCUCUAAAACUUCUUCACAUUCAGAAUCCAACUCUUCUGAAUCACCUUUACUCUGAGUGGCUGGUGGCCAGGUCAUUUUCAUGUAACAUUGCCCUCUGUGACAUCAAGAGCACAGAUGAUGCUACAUUCCUUCUAAGAGGGCUCCACUACCAUCUCUGGGAUUUUCUUCGGAGCUGCUGACACCCAUUUUGCAAGUUUUGAUUCUGGACUUUCUUGGUCUCACCAGAAGGUGUCAAUGGAAGAUUUACAGACAAGAACCCAGGAGUCCUUCUUCAAAUGGCCCCUAACUGGUUUGUGGCUAGAACAUGGCAGGGCUCAUGUUGUCCGGAAAAGCCACCAGGAAGAACAAUCCCCUUCUGGCACAGGCAGGCAGCAGUACCCACAUCGCGACUGUUACAUCUCCAACAGUCAUUGUGAUGAUGUCACGCCUGGUGAAAUCGCAUCCCGAUUUCAGAGACAGGAACGUGUGGAAAACCUCAAAAGGGAUGAACUUCAGUUGCUGGGUGACUGCGCUCUCGUGUGCUCUGGGCUAACUAGACUCACGCAGUUCUAGAAGCUGUAGGGAGAACCGACUCCCCCUGCUUGGUGGCAGAGGUGGCCUUUGAGCAGCAGCCUGAAGCAUAAAGAGGAAUGCACCACAAAGCCAGGGGAAGGCACUCCGGGCUGAAGGACCAGCCUGUGCCGUACAUGGAAGCAUGAAGAAUCCUGGCACCCCUGGCACCAGGACUCGAACCGGCAUAGGACCCACGACAGGGCAGGCAAUGAACAAAGGGAUGAAUGAAUUCAGCUAGUGGUAACAAACCUAGAACCAGAAGUCAAACCUCCUGACGCUUCCUUCCUGCCUCCCCCAGCCCAUGCUCAAGCUUACCUCUGAUCAAAAGGACAAUCGCCCUUUGUUAUUUACCUGGAAUUCUCUCGGAAUAUUCACCCAGAAUCCUCUUGGGUUGCUCACCCAGAAUCCUGGCUCCUCAUCUCAGAAAGUAGAACUUUCAGAACACCAAUCAAAGGCAUUUUGAGGGCAAAGGCGUGAAAAUCCUCGUUGCUAAGGCAGCUUUGCCAACUUCACUGGAUGAGGGUCUCCAGCUGUGAAAAGGAGCAUAGAAUUAAGACAGCCUUCAGUCCUCAACACCACCUCCAGCCCUGCGUUCCCACAUAAUGGUCACCGGGAGAUAUUAGCAUCUAAAUUAUUUUAAGGAGAUAUAAUAAGAUUCACCCAGCAGGCCAUUAAUGACGAAAGAGAUUAUUACUGGAAAAAAUCCAAGACUGACUUUGAGCAGAGUUGGUUCAUCUAAAUGACCCUUUCCCUGCACCUCAGAUGAUCCUGGUCCCCAGAGAUUAUACAGAUUUGAAAAAAGAAGCUGCCAUGGAACACGCGCACGCUUAUGCAAGAGGGUCUUACGGAAGGAAUCUCUGGAGAAUUAGGGUCAGGAGUGCGUAGCAGCGAGAUAAAUGAGAUGUUCCUUGAAUCGUAAGAAUCCACUGUGGCAGAAUUUACAGGAAGCAUCUCCAGUCUCCAGAUUUGGCAGGCAUCCAGCCAGAGUUGUCAAGUAUUAGAUUAAUUUUAAUUCAAUGCAAAAAACCACAUUAGUGUAGUGUUGCGAUUGAGAGUUGAAACAUACAAAAGCCAAGAGUCCUUGAAGUGAAUCAUUCCAGAGCCUGAGCGUCAUUUCAAGCGUCCAUCAAAAAGGCACGUUCUUCAGAGCAUUCCCCAGCCAUCCGCCACCUUCAAAUCGUACCCACUUAGCCAGGUAAAUGAGCCACUUGGCAGUGAUGGAGCUGUUGAUUAAUGUCACUUCACAGGUCCUGGUCACAGGAGUUAAAGUUCAAACUCCUGACAUGGCAUUCAAGACCCUCCAUGAUCUAGCUUCGAAUGCCCUCCACAACCCCAUCUCUCAGUACAACCCUCCACGUUUUGCAGGCUGCAGCCACACCCGCCCUUUGACCACCAUUGGUAAUCUUCCUGCCACCCUUAACUUGCACUCCUUGCUCAAUCUAUUCCACUCAGAGCCCUGGAAGGGAGCAGCCCAAAAUAUUAUGCCUUACCAGAGUGCCCCCUCCUCCAAGCCCCGGCUUAUUGUUGAUGGGGAGCAGAGUCACAAGUGAUCCGGCACCAGCCCCAAGCCUGCAUUCCUCACUCCGCGAUGCCAAGGCCCUGCAGCUACCCCGACCAGCCUCCUUAGAAGGCAGUUUGGAGACCAUCUCUUGUUCCUUCAGCAGACCCCUUGUGUUCUCAGCUCCCACCAACAAGCAGCUUAUCAAAGUACUCCUUCAUUGUCUCAUCCAAGAAGAUUUCUAAAAACAUGCCCUUUUCUCCAUCAGGUUACAGGUCCAAAGAUGCCCCUUAUACAAGUGCCAUCUGCCCAGCUGCCCCACCCAUAAUCCAGCCCUGGGUGCCUUGGCGGGGGAGGGCUGGCCUGACCCAGCUGGACCUCGUGGCGUCCAGGGGAGCUUGGGGUGGCCUCACCUAAGACUGUGGAACACUAGAAGCAGGGGUGAGCUCAGCAGAAGCCAUGGGGGAGGUCGAGGUCCGAGUGCCCCUGGAGGAGAGUCAGGUAAGCUGUGACUCUAAGAGGAGCAAGAGGGAGGGUGGGCUGAGCACAGUGGUCUUCUUGUCUUCUCCUUGCAGAAGUGAGAGAAAUCUCAGAGGUCACCAAGUCCAAGCUGGAGGAACCCCUAAAGCCUCCACUGGUCCCCUCCAGUGACCAGAAAAGGAGAAGGGCACUCACAUCCAUUGAGACCUACUACGUGCCGUGCACAGGACUAGAUGCUUCACGCACAGUGCCCAGCCACGAUUCCCAACAGCCCUGUGGACUUGAUUCCGUUGUUCCUGAUUUAAGGAUAGGACAGAGUUGAAACUGAGGCUUGGAGAGAUUAAGUGACUUGCCCAGGGCCCCUCUAUUGGAGCCAGGAUUUGACUCCAAAGUCCAUGCUCUUCUCCAAUGCACCCUAAAUUUUUUAGUUAAACACUUAUGAACCACUUACGACGUGUUAAGUUUUGCAUUCGACAUUUUCACUUGCAGUUACCACAUUCAGUCUUCAGGACCACCUGCAAGGUUAGUAUCAUAGUCCAUUUUACAGAUGAGGAACCAAGGUCCAGAAAAAUCAAGCACUGCGUGCAAGCAGUAAGUGGUGGAGCCAAGAUUUGAACCCAGAUUUGUUGAUCAAGUCCAGCCCUCCCCCCAUGAUUCCCGAGCUGAUGGAAAGCAGCUCACGAUCUCACAGCAGAACAGCCUAAAUUGGAGAAGCUCCGACUGAAAAUUACAAAACACUUGGAAGGGAGAUUACAUGGCUGUCAGCCAGCUCAGGUCCUGAGGAUUAGAACGUGGACAUCUUUGGGGGCCACGAUUCUGCCCAUCACAGAGACCUCAUGGGAUUGUGUCUAAGGAUUAGAUGGAACAACGCAUGUAAACAGCUGAAACCCAAUGCCCGGCACUUGGAAAGCAACACCAAGUGAGACAGCACUGGCCUCCCACAGGCCCUGGCAUAAAGUGGGCUCCCAGGAAACGUUCCAGGAAAGGCUGAGGAAGGGCACCAUCGUGCAGCUCUCAGGGAGCAGGCACAGCAUUGGGCAUGGGUCCCACAGCUCCGACUCUCAGCACAGAGGUGGGGCCCCCCGGCUACCUUCACAGUUGGUCCAAGAUUAUCCACCGUCAGCCCACUGGGCUGGGCAGGGCUGGGGAGGCUGAGCAGCGUGGCCCCCGCCUCCUGCUCCCUGUUAAGAUGCCAGUCUUCUGGAGGAAAUGUUCGACGUGAACAAUUAACCUGCAUGUGCAAGAGCCACGCUUGGAGCAGAGCAGGAACUUGGUCUGCAUUUCUUUCUCUGCCCAAAUGCAUGACUGGGUUGUCACCCACUGGCCUGGAAAAUUUCCGUUUAGCAGCAUCACUCUCUUCUGUUGGGAGAACUAGCCCGGGGCAGAGACUCGACACACCUUUGCUCUCUGAGCUCCACUCAAUGCAUCUUCAUGAGACUGAAGAGCAAGGGUAGAAACCAGAAACCCAGAAUACCUUCACUGCUUCCUCUUGCAAUAUUGGGGCUGUGGGGCAGGCUAACGUAUUGAGUGGUUGAGUUGCAAGUACUCUCCUUCUGCUCUCCUGUCUCACGUGGGCCAUGACGGUGGCCAGGCCCUUCAGGCCCCCUCCUUUCCUUGGUGAGGUUUGUUUGACAACAAGAGGUCCAGAAAGGGGGCAGAGGUUGCCAGCAAAACAAUUCCCUUCCUGGUUUUUGUUUCUUAAACCCUGAACUCUUUGAAGAAGAGAGUCUGGGGUUAUCUCCCUGCCCAUAUUAUCCAGCCUCACUUCUUUCCAGUUCCGUCACACAAGGUGCAUGCAUACGUAGACAUAGACACACACACAUCAACACACACAAUGCAUACACACGCACACAUGUACGUGUGUACACAUAUGUGUUCGUACCCACACAUGCAUAUGCAUGUGUGCACACAUAUUCGUGUGUGAUAGUGCACAUGUAUGUGUGUGCAUGUAUACAUAUGCACACGUGCAUGCAGGUUCGUGUGCGCAUGCAUGUACAAACACACAGCCACAGGUGUGUGGGCAUGCAUGCAUGCACAUAUAUGCAUAUUGAACUGCUUCAGUUCCUGAACUCAUGCUUUCUCCUCUCCCACCUCACACUGCCUGCCCCCAAGGCCUUUAUAACUGCUGCAUCCCCUUUCUGGAACAUUCUUUACCCUCUACCCUUUUUUACCUAGCUACCUCUUCAUCUUAUACCAGGUCCACACUUGAACUUUGAGCACGUGGUAUUGUAACUGCCUGUUUACUCGUCUGCCUGAGCAACAAAAUACACAAGUCUAGCCGGCUCACCUUUAUAUUCCUGGUACUUAGCAUGGGCUUCUUAUGACUGUUUGUGAAAUGAAAGGGUGAGUAGAUGGAUGAAUGGAU
This 5238-nucleotide long non-coding RNA is filed under the name Equus caballus (horse). Its description in RNAcentral is "lncRNA (ENSECAG00000053910.1)". Lineage: Eukaryota; Metazoa; Chordata; Mammalia; Perissodactyla; Equidae. The record is from RNAcentral.